AUGUGAUCGUCUCUCGCAUAUCAAUAAGCGGAGGAAAAGAAACUAACAAGGAUUCCCCUAGUAACGGCGAGUGAAGCGGGAAGAGCUCAAAUUUGAAAUCUUAAAGGGUUUCCCUUUACGAAUUGUAGUUUAAAGAAGUGUUUCCUGUUGAGGUUUUGGUAAAAGUUCUUUGGAAUAGGACAUCAUAGAGGGUGAGAAUCCCGUAUUUGACCUUUACUUUCAACUUUGUGAUACACUUUCAAAGAGUCGGAUUGUUUGGGAAUGCAGUCCAAAAUGGGUGGUAAAUUUCAUCUAAAGCUAAAUAUUGGCGAGAGACCGAUAGCGAACAAGUACCGUGAGGGAAAGAUGAAAAGAACUUUGAAAAGAGAGUUAAACAGUACGUGAAAUUGUCAAAAGGGAAGCGUUUGACACCAGUGUUGUUUUUCUGAAAAUCAAUUAAAGAACUGUUUAUGCUAAGCUGUUUAGACUUUAUCAGCUAUCUGUUUAGUUUUGAGCUUUUCUUUAAUGCACUUUUCAGUUAACAAGUCAACAUCAAUUUCUUUUGCUGUAAAAAAGCUUGAGGAAGGUGGCUUGAGAUUCGUCUUAAGUGUUUACAGCCUCUUGCCCAUGCAGUCGGAGAGAUUGAGGUCUGCAGCGUAGAUCCUUCGGGGCUAAAUGCAUUUGUGCUAAGUUAUAGCAUUUUAUAGACAACUUGUUGACUAUGAUUUGUCUUGUAGCUUACUCGCUUAUGUUAUUUUACCUACGCUUAGGAUGUUGAGCGCAUGUCUCUCUCU
Molecule: ribosomal RNA, 773 nt
Filed under: uncultured Neocallimastigales
Lineage: Eukaryota; Fungi; Neocallimastigomycota; Neocallimastigomycetes; Neocallimastigales
Description: partial large subunit ribosomal RNA
Rfam family: Eukaryotic large subunit ribosomal RNA
Source: RNAcentral